RNAcentral lists this ribosomal RNA (490 nucleotides) under uncultured bacterium. Its description in RNAcentral is "bacterial SSU rRNA". It matches the Rfam family "Bacterial small subunit ribosomal RNA", at positions 28 to 509 of the family's 1533-position model. The record is from RNAcentral.
GAUGAACGCUAGCGGCAGGCUUAAUACAUGCAAGUCGUGGGGCAGCAGGAGUAGCAAUACUUGCUGGCGACCGGCAAACGGGUGCGUAACACGUACGCAACCUUCCUACAGGCGGGGAAUAGCCCAGAGAAAUUUGGAUUAAUACCCCAUAAGAUUUUGGUAGUGGCAUCACUCUAUUAUUAAAGCUUCGGCACCUGAAGAUGGGCGUGCGGCUGAUUAGGUAGUUGGCGGGGUAACGGCCCACCAAGCCUUCGAUCAGUAGCUGAUGUGAGAGCAUGAUCAGCCACACGGGCACUGAGACACGGGCCCGACUCCUACGGGAGGCAGCAGUAAGGAAUAUUGGUCAAUGGACGAAAGUCUGAACCAGCCAUGCCGCGUGGAGGAUGAAGGUCCUCUGGAUUGUAAACUUCUUUUAUUUUGGGACGAAAAAAGGGACAUUCUUUGCUCACUUGACGGUACCAGAUGAAUAAGCACCGGCUAACUCCGUGCC